RNAcentral lists this ribosomal RNA (522 nucleotides) under Triticum aestivum (bread wheat). RNAcentral describes it as "partial small subunit ribosomal RNA". The record is from RNAcentral. Lineage: Eukaryota; Viridiplantae; Streptophyta; Magnoliopsida; Poales; Poaceae.
AUGCUGGUAGUUCAGGCGGCGACACUGAUUGCUAUGAUUCAGGAACGGGUCAUGUUCAUGCACAGGAGAGUUGUUGAUCGUGGUGAGAGACAUGUUAUGUGUUAUGCUCCAAUGCUUAUGCGGGAGCAGGAGAGGAUCGCCAAUCUGAACUACAUCUAUAACUGCAACGACACAGAGGCUUUGUGGAUGAUUCGAAUGAAAAGAGCACCAUUUGCCAGACUUUCUGAGACCUUCAGGAGCAGGGGGCUGCUACAAGAUAGCAUCCACACCAGUGUGGAAGAGCAAGUGGCCAUGUUCCUCCAUGUUGUUGGCCAUAACUAGAGGUUCGGGGUUAUACACAACACCUUCAGGUCCAUGGAGACCAUCUCAAGGUACUUCAAGCAAGUGAUCUAUGCUGUCGAGGAGCUCAGAGGAGAGAUGAUCAAGCCACCAACCAGUCGGACACCUACCAAGAUUCGCACUAUCCCAAGAUGGUAUCCAUACUUCAAUGUGAGCACUGACAGUAUGUGCUUCAUGGCUUGA